GACGAACGCUGGCGGCGUGCUUAACACAUGCAAGUCGAACGGGCCCGCCCCUGUUUUUGGGGGUGGGUUGAGUGGCGAACGGGUGAGUAUCACGUGAGUAACCUGCCCCCUGCUCCUGGAUAACUGCUUGAAAGGGCGGCUAAUACGGGGUGUGCCGGCUGGUCCGCAUGGGCCUGGUCGGGAUAGUUUCAUCUUCGGGUGUUUCGGUGGGGGAUGGGCUCGCGGCCCAUCAGCUUGUUGGUGGGGUGAUGGCCCACCAAGGCGGUGACGGGUAGCCGGCCUGAGAGGGUGGGCGGCCACACUGGGACUGAGACACGGCCCAGACUCCUGCGGGAGGCAGCAGUGGGGGGUAUUGCACAAGGGGCGGAAGCCUGAUGCAGCGACGUCGCGUGAGGGAUGGAGGCCUUCGGGUUGGGAACCUCUUUCUCCGGUGGUGAAGGCCCUGUCCGUUGCGGCGGGGUUGACGGUAGCCGGGUAUGAAGCGCCGGCUAACUACGUG
This 499-nucleotide ribosomal RNA is filed under the name uncultured bacterium. Its description in RNAcentral is "partial 16S ribosomal RNA". It matches the Rfam family "Bacterial small subunit ribosomal RNA", at positions 28 to 507 of the family's 1533-position model. The record is from RNAcentral.